UACAGAGGUCUCGAGCGUUAGGCGGAAUCACUGGGCUUAAAGCGUGUGUAGGUGGAUCGGUAAGUACCUUGUGAAAUCCCACAGCUUAACUGUGGAACUGCUUGGUAUACUGCCAGUCUUGAGCCAGCUAGGGGCUACUGGAACAAAUGGUGGAGCGGUGAAAUGCGUAGAUAUCAUUUGGAACGCCAAUGGUGAAAACAGGUAGCUGGGGCUGUGCUGACACUGAGACACGAAAGCCAGGGGAGCAAACGGG
Molecule: ribosomal RNA, 253 nt
Filed under: uncultured bacterium
Lineage: Bacteria
Description: partial 16S ribosomal RNA
Rfam family: Bacterial small subunit ribosomal RNA
Source: RNAcentral